GACAGAGGGUGCGAACGUUGCUCGGAAUUACUAGGCGUAAAGCACAUGUAAACAAAUAAUCAAAUCAGAUGUGAAAUCCCUAAGCUCAACCCAAAAACUGCAUUUAAAACUGGUUGCCUUGAGUGUUGGAGAAAAAAGCGGAAUUCCUGGUAUAGAGGUGAAAUUCGUAGAUAUCAGGAGGAACACCAAUGACGAAGGCGGCUUCCUGGACAAUUACUGACGCUGAGACGCGAAAGCGUGGGGAGCAAACAGG
RNAcentral lists this ribosomal RNA (253 nucleotides) under uncultured bacterium. RNAcentral's name for it is "partial 16S ribosomal RNA". It matches the Rfam family "Bacterial small subunit ribosomal RNA", at positions 524 to 776 of the family's 1533-position model. The record is from RNAcentral.